GAUGAACGCUGGCGGCGUGCCUAAUACAUGCAAGUCGAGCGAACAGAUGAGGAGCUUGCUCCUUUGACGUUAGCGGCGGACGGGUGAGUAACACGUGGAUAACCUACCUAUAAGACUGGGAUAACUUCGGGAAACCGGAGCUAAUACCGGAUAAUAUAUUGAACCGCAUGGUUCAAUAGUGAAAGAUGGUUUUGCUGUCACUUAUAGAUGGACCCGCGCCGCAUUAGCUAGUUGGUAAGGUAACGGCUUACCAAGGCAACGAUGCGUAGCCGACCUGAGAGGGGAAUCGGCAACACUGGAACGGAGACACGUUCCAGACUCCUACGGAAGGCAGCAGUAGGGAAUCUUCCGCAAUGGGCGAAAGCCUGACGGAGCAACGCCGCGUGAGGAAUGAAGGUCUUCGGAUCGUAAAACUCUGUUAUUAGGGAAAAACAAAUGUGUAAGUAACUAUGCACGUCUGGAGGGUACCUAAUCAGAAAGCCACGGCUAACUACGU
Molecule: ribosomal RNA, 496 nt
Filed under: uncultured bacterium
Lineage: Bacteria
Description: partial 16S ribosomal RNA
Rfam family: Bacterial small subunit ribosomal RNA
Source: RNAcentral